GCGAACUGCGCAGUCGCGGCGGCGCUUCAGGCCGGCGAGGAAAGUCCGGGCAUCACAGAGCUGGGUAACUGCUAACGGCAGCCGGGGGCGACCCUAGGGCUAGUGCAACAGAAAUGAGACUUCCGUCUGUCUCUGACCGGCGGUAAAGGUGGAAAGGUGCGGUAAGAGCGCACCGGAGCGUAUGAGAAUACGCUGCCGUGUAAACCCUGCCCGAUGCAACGCUGAUUGGUGUAUCAGGUCAUAACGUCUGCUCGGCGGAUCUGAUGCAAAGGCGGCUCGAUCGUUCCGGCGACGGAACGGCUAGAUAAAUGACUGCGGUCGGUUUCUCCGGAAACCGUCACAGAACCCGGCUUACAGGUUCGGU
RNAcentral lists this RNase P RNA (364 nucleotides) under bovine gut metagenome. Its description in RNAcentral is "Bacterial RNase P class A". It matches the Rfam family "Bacterial RNase P class A". Rfam says of the family: Ribonuclease P (RNase P) is a ubiquitous endoribonuclease, found in archaea, bacteria and eukarya as well as chloroplasts and mitochondria. Its best characterised activity is the generation of mature 5'-ends of tRNAs by cleaving the 5'-leader elements of precursor-tRNAs. The record is from RNAcentral.